RNAcentral lists this ribosomal RNA (272 nucleotides) under uncultured bacterium. Its description in RNAcentral is "partial 16S ribosomal RNA". It matches the Rfam family "Bacterial small subunit ribosomal RNA", at positions 82 to 354 of the family's 1533-position model. The record is from RNAcentral.
CUUCCGCCGGCGACCGGCGCACGGGUGAGUAACACGUAUGCAACCUGCCCCUGUCAGGGGACAACCCGCCGAAAGGCGGGCUAAACCCGCGUACAUGCCACCGGGGCAUCCCGGAGGCAGGAAAGGCUUCGGCCGGACAGGGAUGGGCAUGCGGCGCAUUAGGCAGUAGGCGGGGUAACGGCCCACCUAACCGACGAUGCGUAGGGGUUCUGAGAGGAAGGUCCCCCACACUGGUACUGAGACACGGACCAGACUCCUACGGGAGGCAGCAG